AGUGAACGCUGGCGGUAGGCCUAACACAUGCAAGUCGAACGGCAGCACAGUAAGAGCUUGCUCUUACGGGUGGCGAGUGGCGGACGGGUGAGGAAUACAUCGGAAUCUACUUUUUCGUGGGGGAUAACGUAGGGAAACUUACGCUAAUACCGCGUACGACCUACGGGUGAAAGCAGGGGAUCUUCGGACCUUGCGCGAUUGAAUGAGCCGAUGUCGGAUUAGCUAGUUGGCGGGGUAAAGGCCCACCAAGGCGACGAUCCGUAGCUGGUCUGAGAGGAUGAUCAGCCACACUGGAACUGAGACACGGUCCAGACUCCUACGGGAGGCAGCAGUGGGGAAUAUUGGACAAUGGGCGCAAGCCUGAUCCAGCCAUACCGCGUGGGUGAAGAAGGCCUUCGGGUUGUAAAGCCCUUUUGUUGGGAAAGAAAAGCAGCAGGUUAAUACCCCGCUGUUAUGACGGUACCCAAAGAAUAAGCACCGGCUAACUUCGUG
Molecule: ribosomal RNA, 492 nt
Filed under: uncultured bacterium
Lineage: Bacteria
Description: partial 16S ribosomal RNA
Rfam family: Bacterial small subunit ribosomal RNA
Source: RNAcentral